UACAGAGGUCUCAAGCGUUUGUUCGGAUUCAUUGGGCGUAAAGGGUGCGUAGGCGGCGCGGUAAGUCGGGUGUGAAAUCUCGGGGCUUAACUCCGAAACUGCAUUCGAUACGGGCAGGCUCGAGUUCGGUAGGGGAGACUGGAAUUCCUGGUGUAGCGGUGAAAUGCGCAGAUAUCAGGAGGAACACCGGUGGCGAAGGCGGGUCUCUGGGCCGAUACUGACGCUGGAGGAGCGAAAGCGUGGGGAGCGAACAGG
Molecule: ribosomal RNA, 255 nt
Filed under: uncultured bacterium
Lineage: Bacteria
Description: partial 16S ribosomal RNA
Rfam family: Bacterial small subunit ribosomal RNA
Source: RNAcentral